GACGAACGCUGGCGGCGUGCUUAACACAUGCAAGUCGAACGGUAAGGCCCUUCGGGGUACACGAGUGGCGAACGGGUGAGUAACACGUGGGUGAUCUGCCCUGCACUUCGGGAUAAGCCUGGGAAACUGGGUCUAAUACCGGAUAGGACCACUGCCUGCAUGGGUGGUGGGGGAAAGCUUUUGCGGUGUGGGAUGGGCCCGCGGCCUAUCAGCUUGUUGGUGGGGUGAUGGCCUAACAAGGCGACGACGGGUAGCCGGCCUGGGAGGGUGACCGGCCACACUGGGACUGAGAUACGGCCCAGACUCCCACGGGAGGCAGCAGUGGGGAAUAUUGCACAAUGGGCGCAAGCCUGAUGCAGCGACGCCGCGUGAGGGAUGACGGCCUUCGGGUUGUAAACCUCUUUCAGCACCGACGAAGCGCAAGUGACGGUAGGUGCAGAAGAAGGACCGGCCAACUACGUGCCAGCCGCCGCAGUAA
RNAcentral lists this ribosomal RNA (478 nucleotides) under uncultured bacterium. RNAcentral's name for it is "partial 16S ribosomal RNA". It matches the Rfam family "Bacterial small subunit ribosomal RNA", at positions 28 to 523 of the family's 1533-position model. The record is from RNAcentral.